UUCUUCCUUCUCUUCUUUCAAUGUGGUUGUGUUUGAAUCAUUUUAUAUGGGUAAAAUGGCUCAAUUGAUCCUUGUACUAUGUCCAUUUUGUAAUGUGGAUACUCCUGCUCACACGUUUGUCAUCUGGACUCUUGAACCCACUAAAAAACAAUAUUUUAAAUCCUUUGACCGUUGAUCAGACCUAUGUGGCAUUAAGAUGGCUGAGUAGGACGAAAUACGUGUAGGCACGCCUGGGGUACGAGUGAGGAUAAUUUUUUGAUCAAUUUUAUAUUAAAAUAAUUUUAAAAAUAUGUAUAUUUUUUUAAAUGUUCCCCCCCCCCCUCCCACCCCUGUAGCCCACAAGGCUGCCAUGGCCAUUAGAGCCAUUAGCACCACCAUUAAUGCCCUCACCCCCACCCCUGCAACGUCCAAGGCUGCCAUGACAGUCGCAACACCACCAUGAACGCCCCAACCCCACCAGCACCACUACAGUGCCCCCUCCCCCAGUAACGUCGGCCAUCACCAUUAAAAUCCUCUAUAACCUUCACUCCUCAACAUAGAUCUUGCCAUUUUUAGACAUGAAAUUUGACCGCUCAUAACUUGCUGCCUAGUUUUCAACACUACAAUUGGGUAAAGUGCACCCGAAACACUCGAAAAAAGCGCAGCUUUUAAGAAAAAAAACUUAGAUUUGUCAAACAUCUCCCAAUGUAUAUCUGCUGAAAGAUAAUUUUUGAAGCUGAAUCCUCCUCCACCACACUCAUUUUCCACCACUUCCCAAAUCCUUCAAAUUUUCAAAAUCAGCCAAAAAUUGCUUCUUUAGUCUUUAUCUCAAACCAACAAACCCAAUUUCUACAAGAAAGAAACCACAAACAAAUUCUCUAUGAUCCAAUAGUUAAGAAGAGAUCAAGAAAACAACAGAAAAACAAAAUUAUAGAUGGGUUGUUGUCACACCAGUAACGGUGGUGCGGCGGUGGAGAUAGAGAAGAGAGAGUGGAGAGAUGGAGAAGAGAGAGCCGAUUGCCACUAUCAUUUUAAUUUUUAUUUUUUAAUUCUCAAUUUAAAAUUUUCAUUUUUUUAAUAUUUAAUUUUUUAUGUAGCAAUUUAAAAAUGAUGUGAAAUUUAAUGUAGUAUUUAAAAUGACGUGAAAGCUGACGUGGGUUGAGUGUGUUACGUUCACCAAAAAAGUGUUUAAACUAUUGUUUGUAGAGGGUUCAAGGGUCCAGAUGACAAACAUGCGAGUAGGAGUAUCCACAUUACAAAAUAAACAUAGUAUAAAGGUUCAUCGAGCCAUUUUGUCUUUUACAUGUAUCCCGACUAUUCAAUAGCAUAAAUAUCCGAUUACAUUA
This 1325-nucleotide long non-coding RNA is filed under the name Capsicum annuum. RNAcentral describes it as "long non-coding RNA (CANN_LNC007112)". Lineage: Eukaryota; Viridiplantae; Streptophyta; Magnoliopsida; Solanales; Solanaceae. The record is from RNAcentral.